AAAGUCUGACAGACAAUCGCCGGCGGCCUUUGUUGCCGCGGGAGGAAAGUCCGGGCUCCGCAGGGCAGGAUGCUGGAUAACGUCCAGUCGGCGCGAGCCGAAGGAUAGUGCCACAGAAAUGGACCGCCGAUGGCCGGCUUCACGCCGGCACAGGCAAGGGUGGAACCGUGGUGUAAGAGACCACGAGCGGCGUUGGUGACAACGCGGCUGGUAAACCCCAUCCGGAGCAAGACCGAGAGAACGCGGCGGCCUCAGAGCCGCAGCCCUUGCCCGGGGCGCGUUCGGGUUGGUCGCUUGAGCUGUGCAGCAAUGCACAGCCUAGAUAGAUGAUUGUCGCUUCCAUCGUGGGAGGGUCGUUCCCGUUAUACCACCGGAAGUACAGAACCCGGCUUAUGGCAGGCUUUCCGC
Molecule: non-coding RNA, 408 nt
Organism: Thermobacillus composti KWC4
Lineage: Bacteria; Bacillati; Bacillota; Bacilli; Caryophanales; Paenibacillaceae
Rfam family: Bacterial RNase P class A
About the family: Ribonuclease P (RNase P) is a ubiquitous endoribonuclease, found in archaea, bacteria and eukarya as well as chloroplasts and mitochondria. Its best characterised activity is the generation of mature 5'-ends of tRNAs by cleaving the 5'-leader elements of precursor-tRNAs. Cellular RNase Ps are ribonucleoproteins.
Source: Rfam